Amborella trichopoda is the source of this 2992-nucleotide non-coding RNA. NCBI's taxonomy places the organism in Eukaryota, Viridiplantae, Streptophyta, Magnoliopsida, Amborellales, Amborellaceae. The record is from RefSeq and is a predicted model, not a curated record.
CUACAGAACCCAGCAUGAAGACUUUCAAGAAAGUCUUCACCCUUGCAAACCUCCCACUUUUGAGUUUCAUUAUAUGCAUUGCUAACUAUCAACUAAACCUCCAUUCUAAAGUGGGUGCCAGUGAAAACCAGGUGCAAUGGGUUGCAAAUUCCAAGUUCGUUUCUUUCCUGUUAUUUUAUCACUGUUAGCGAUUUCUCUUUCUGUUUCUGGUUCGGGUUCUGGUUCUGGUUCGGGUUCUGGUUCUGGUUCUGGUUCUUGCUCUGGCUUUGCUUUAGAUACCAUCUCUAUAGACAAAUCUCUUAAACGAAACCAAACCGUAGUCUCUAAAGGUGGUGUCUUUGAACUCAGCCCAGAUAAGUUGCAAUCCUGGUAUAUAGGCAUCUGGUACAAAGAAAUUCAUGUCCAAACUGUUGUAUGGGUAGCUAACCGUGAAACACCAUUGCCGGACACCUCAUCUGAACUCAAAAUUUCAGGGAAUGGAAACUUAGUCCUCUUGAACAAAACCCAAGUCCCAAUUUGGUCCACCGAUUUGAGUUCCACAUCUGGAGCUGCAAAUUCCUCCUCUGCUGUUUUAUUAGACAAUGGGAAUCUGGUUCUAAAGGAGGCUGGAUCUUCAAGAGUUAUGUGGCAGAGUUUUGAUCAUCCCACGGAUACAUGGUUACCAGGAGGAAAGAUGGGAUUGAACAAGAAGACUAGGCAAAACCAAUUGCUCAAAUCUUGGAGGAAUUCAGAGGACCCAUCACCUGGGCUCUUCUCCCUCGGACUCGACCCGAAUGGAACUAAACAGUAUCUUGCAUAUUGGAAUGGAAGCAAAAGGUAUUGGAGUUCUGGGGAGUGGGAUGGGCACAUCUUCAGUGCAGUCCCAGAGAUGAGAUUGAAUUACAUUUACAAUUUCAGCUUCAUUGAUAACGAGAAUGAGAGCUACUAUAAUUACUCCUGCUAUGAUAAUACCACCAUCUUACGGUUUGUGAUGGAUGUAACUGGGCUGAUCCGGCAGUAUUCGUUGAAUGAGCAGAAACAAACGUGGAACCUAUUUGUGUCACUGCCUAGAGACCCCUGUGAUAUCUAUGCCAUUUGUGGACCCUUCGCAAGCUGCAGCCAAAAAUUACCCUUUUGCAGCUGCAUCCCUGGUUUUGAACCCAAGUUUCCUCAUAAAUGGAAUUUGGGUGAGUGGUUUGGAGGGUGUGUUAGAAAGACCAAGUCGCAGUGUGGCUUCCGCAAUGGCGAGAGAGAUGGGUUUUGGCCAAUUAAUACAACAGAAGUAUGGGAAAAAUCGAUUCCAUCGACAGUUGUGGAUACCAAAGAUUGUGAGGCUUGGUGUUUGGCAAACUGUUCUUGCACUGCUUAUGCACAGAAUUCUGGCAGUGACACUUGCUACACAUAUACUGGAGAUAUUCUGAAUCUAAAAGAAGAGGAGACAACAUACAAGCUUUACAUUCGGGCUGCUUCUUCUGAUCUGUUUCCUAAUUCUAGUAGAAACGAGAACAAAAAAUUACUAAAGAUCAUAGCUGUGUGCUCUGUUACAGGCUUGUUAAUCAUCGUGGGUGUUAUUCUUUGGACUCUGUGGAUGAAACUUGCUCCAAGAAGGACCGAGAUGGACGGGUCACUAAUGAUAUUCAAUUACAAAGAUUUGAAAAGUGCAACUAAGAACUUCUCGCAGAAAAUUGGAGGUGGGAGUUUUGGUUCAGUGUUUAUAGGCUAUCUGAGUGAUGGGACGCAUGUUGCCAUUAAGAAGCUAGAGGGACAUAGUCAAGGAGAGAAGCAAUUCAGAGCAGAGGUGUCCACCAUCGGAACAAUACAACACAUCAACUUGAUCCAACUACGAGGAUUCUGCUCACAAGGAUCUAGGAGAUUAUUGGUGUAUGAAUAUAUGUCCAAUAGUUCCUUGAAUUUUCAUUUAUUUCAAGAAGGUGCUGACUGUUUGAGCUGGAAAAUAAGAUACAAUAUCGCACUUGGAAUCGCUAGAGGGAUUGCUUAUUUACAUGGAAAGUGCAAAGACCGCAUAAUGCAUUGUGACAUCAAGCCGGAAAACAUACUCUUGGACCAUGACUUCAGCCCAAAGUUGACGGAUUUUGGGUUAGCAAAGCUAAUGAGUCGGGAAUUCAGUCGUGUUUUAACUACCAUGAGGGGAAGCAAAGGGUAUCUAGCACCAGAGUGGCUUUCUGGUAAGGCCAUAACUGUCAAAGCAGAUGUAUAUAGUUAUGGUAUGACAUUGUUAGAACUCAUCUCAGGUAGGAGAAAUGCAGAUUGGGAAAGGGGUUUCUUCUUCCCUGCUGAAGUGUUGGUGCAAAUGAUGGAUGGAAAGGACCUGGGAAUGUUGGACCCUAGGCUUAAGGGUGUCGCCGAUGUGGAGGAGGUGGCUCGUGCUUGUAGGGUGGCAGGUUGGUGUGUGCAAGAGGGGGAGGGUUGUAGGCCGUCCAUGGAACAGGUCGUCUGGUUCCUCGAAGGUGUAGUAAACGUGGAGAAGCCUCUGGUAUUGAAGACCCUUGAGGUGUUUGAAGACAACUGAAGGGUAAUUGUAUGAUUACUGGAAGGCGGACCCUUAGAGGUGUUUGAAGACAACUGAAGGGUAAUUGUACGAUUACUGGAAGGCAUAGUAAACAUGGAGAAGCCUCUGGUAUUGAGGACCGUUGAGGUGUUUUGAAGACAACUGAAGUGUAAUUGUAUGUUCAGUUCAUUGAUUCGGAUGUUUUGAGUUGUUGAAGAUGUUACGUGUAAGAAGGCCUAUAUGGUAGAAGGAAAACUAAGACAGCAUCCCUGCGAAAAUGGAGGUGAACAGAUGAUGGACAUCAGUUUAAUUGGUCACCUGAACCUCCAACAGAGUAGCAAGGGACUACUCAAAAUUGCCGCUGAAAACCAGGAGGAAAUACUCGAUGCACUUGUCAUACUUCGAACAAGUGCCAUCACUUCUACGGAAGAUAGCAGGUUCCCCCAUGUGAAGUUGUGGCUGAAACCUGUAUGAGUAUAUACCGGAUGUAUUCAUGAAUUUUAA